This is a long non-coding RNA of Chinchilla lanigera (long-tailed chinchilla), 767 nucleotides long. RefSeq lists it as uncharacterized. NCBI's taxonomy places the organism in Eukaryota, Metazoa, Chordata, Mammalia, Rodentia, Chinchillidae. The transcript has 3 exons. The record is from RefSeq and is a predicted model, not a curated record.
GGCAGCGUGGGGCGUCUUCCCUUGUGGCGAUGCUGCUGCCCACCGUGGGCUGUGCGGGAAGGGGGUGGAGGGAUGGCCAGGAUCCAGAAGACAAGAAGCAAAACAAGCCCAGCGCCAGGCAGAGUAACUGCAGAUCCAAUGGAAAAAAUGCCCAGCCUACCGAGAUGCCAAUUAGUCUGUCUUCCCACGGUGGGCCAGCAUCCCCGCAGGAAGAAAUCCGGGGAGCGGACAGUGAGGUCCUCAGAAAGCCCAGCUGUGAUGAAUAGGACUUCUGCUUCCCCUGGGACCUGGCUGGUUAUUUUGUAGGAAAUUGAAUUUCUUGAACAGGAGCUUUAGGAAGACACACACUGGGGCUGCUUUGGUCACUGUCAUCGUAUCUCCUGCACCCAACAAAUCCACAUGUGGGGAGCUGCUCCACAACUGCCUGCCUGAGAAAUGAAGAAGGGGGCACGUUCAGCCUCCAGGCCCACUUGGCUUUCUCAGCCCAUCCAUGGGACGGCUUCUUCUGGUUUGUCUCAGGCCGGUGCAAACUGCCCAAUAUUCCUAUUUCUAUUUUUAAAAAUAUUACACGUGUUCAUCUCUAUGGAAUACAACGCGAUGCUUGAAUUUAUGCACACAUUGUGUCAUGAUCAAAUCAGGUAAUUAGCAUAUCCAUCACUUCAUACGUUUAUCGUUUCUUUGUGGUUAGAGCAUUCAAAACCUCUCUUCUAGCUGUUUUGGAAUGCACGAUACAUUACUGUGAACUGUGGUCAUCCCACUACGCAAUA